Molecule: long non-coding RNA, 2035 nt
Organism: Pleuronectes platessa (European plaice)
Lineage: Eukaryota; Metazoa; Chordata; Actinopteri; Pleuronectiformes; Pleuronectidae
Exons: 2
Source: RefSeq, a predicted model, not a curated record
ACUAACUAACUAACUAACUUCAUACAUGCAUGUUCUGUAAUUGUAAUAUAAUCCAAUCUCAUAUAAAACACAUUGUUUUGGUUUGUUUUCUUCUCAGUUCUUUCCACUGACUGGAACUGUCUCUUAUCUGUUUAAUCGUCUGACCCUCGGUCGUCUGUGAUAUUACAACAUUUCUGAGAACGUGUUUGUUGACACUCGACUACAAAAUACAGAUGAACACAACAAGAAGCUCUUAUAAUGACUUCAUACGAUCAGAUGUAUAAUAACAAUAAGCACUCUGCAAUGUAAUGAACACGGAGGAGGAGAUUCCGUCUGUGCACCAUGAUGACGAUGAAGCAGAUUCAGCUGAAUGUGAUCUAAGGUCACUUGGACUCAAACAGAAAUACUGAACAGUGAUUAACAAGAUCGGUUCAACGUUCAAGGUUUCCCACAAUGCAUCAGUCCAACAACGUGCAUAUAUAUAUAUCAGAAAUUCAGAAGCAAAUAACAGACUUCGGAACGAGCAACAGACGCACAGACCUGAAAUGGAAGAUUCAAGGAGAUUUUCCACUCUGUCGUUCUCUUUCAUCCUCUGUUUCUCACUGUGGCUCACGCCUGGAGAAACCUACAACUUUUGGGAUCAAUGCAUUGACGAAUGUCCGGCGAAGUAUUUCACCUCCACGUACGAUGUUCGAUGCUCUGACAGGUGUGAAAAGCAUGGUUAUGACUACUACUGGUGCCAUUCUGAAGAGGGCUGGGACUACUGCUCACCAGGAGAGCACAUUGAUUACAUAGGCAACCCCUGUAGCAAUGCCUGUGGCAAAUAUGGAGAAAACUUCUACAGGUGCUUGUUGUGGGGAGGAUCGUGGAGCAAAUGUGCUCGGGUGGAGCCGAGGGCAAUGAUUUACUACACCAGGUAUCAGAGACAAUGUGUUGACAGCUGUCAGUACUAUGAGUCAGAUGAUUACUUCUGGUGCCAUGAUGGAGAUGACUGGGAGUACUGCUCACCUCUACAAGACCACACCUAGAAGAAUGAGCCGUGUCGCUUCAAUCACCAGUGUGGAAGCUAUGGUUACAGUUACACCUGGUGCUACACAACAUUCAACAACGACUGGGAUUACUGUGGAGUGAUCAGUCCAGGAGAGUGUGUGUUUUCCCAGACGUCCCGUGCCAAACGACAACCCAAUAAUCCCAGAGUGAUCUGUACCAGGGAAGACAACAACAACAGGAGAGUGACCACUUUCAGAGAAGAAGGAUCUUCUAGUAACAUCGCUCAAACCAACAGAAGGUUACGCAACGAAGCCGUAGACUUAAUCAACCGAUGGGACAACCAGGGCUUGAGUGACCAGUCCAGUUCCAACUUGAUAACCUCGAGCAAUCUUCGUCUUGACAACCAGGGACUGAUCAACAGGAACAAUCAGCGGUGUUACAACCUGCAAAUCCAGAUCAACGGACCACGUGGUCCUGGACGCAGCACCACUGUGGCACAGAUCAUAGUUCCUGUUGACACGUCAGCUGAAUACAUGCGUUUGGCCUUCAGGGAGAGUUUACAGCGUGAGGUCGGUGUGGUGGUGGAAGUCAACGAAGCAUCCACCUCCACAAGCAACAACCAGAAGUGUUGUAAACGACGUAAAAAUUAACGUUGUUUACAACACAUGUGUAGCUGACAGUGUUGGGCAAGUUACUGAAAAUUCGUAAUUAGUUACAGUUACUAGUUACUUCUUUUAAAAGUAAUUGAAUUACUUCACCAGUUACUGUUAAUCAAAAGUAAUUAGUUACUAGGGAAAGUAACUUUUAAGUUACUUUUAUGUCUGCUUUUUAAAUGUAAUGAAUAUGAAAAGUACUGAACAGUUAAACACAAUAAACUUAUUUUGUAAUCAACAGGGCAACAGGCCUUCAAAUCAAGCAGUAGUACAAAAAUCCCUUUUAAUACUUAACUUAAUACAAAAUAACUGUCAGUCAUUUAACAGUGUUUUUUUUACCACAUUAGGCCCAAUGAAAUAAUAACCUAACUAACUACAUACAUGCAUUUUAUGUAAUUGUAAUAUAAUCCAAU